This 253-nucleotide ribosomal RNA is filed under the name uncultured bacterium. Its description in RNAcentral is "partial 16S ribosomal RNA". It matches the Rfam family "Bacterial small subunit ribosomal RNA", at positions 524 to 776 of the family's 1533-position model. The record is from RNAcentral.
UACGUAGGGUGCGAGCGUUAAUCGGAAUUACUGGGCGUAAAGCGUGCGCAGGCGGUUUUGUAAGCCAGAUGUGAAAGCCCCGGGCUUAACCUGGGAAUGGCAUUUGGGACUGCAAGGCUGGAGUGCGGCAGAGGGGGAUGGAAUUCCGCGUGUAGCAGUGAAAUGCGUAGAUAUGCGGAGGAACACCGAUGGCGAAGGCAAUCCCCUGGGCCUGCACUGACGCUCAUGCACGAAAGCGUGGGGAGCAAACAGG